This is a long non-coding RNA of Leopardus geoffroyi (Geoffroy's cat), 1221 nucleotides long. RefSeq lists it as uncharacterized. Lineage: Eukaryota; Metazoa; Chordata; Mammalia; Carnivora; Felidae. The record is from RefSeq and is a predicted model, not a curated record. The transcript is spliced from 4 exons.
AAAAUGGAAAUACGGUAGCAUGAAGGAAGGAAAGAGUGAAGAUAAUGAAGUACUGAAAUCUCUCACUAGAAAUCCCCUUAAAAAGGAGUUGCUCCAGUCCUCAUCAGCUACCGGGACGUGUCAAGCCAUAGAAAGUGAAGUUUCACAAACCAUCCUUCCCCAUAGACGAUAGGCUCCACCCCUACGUGGGGCUUGAACUCACAACCCUGAGAUCAAGUCACAACCCUGAGAUCAAGAGUCAGAUGCUCUACCAACUGAGCCUCCCAGGUGUCCCUAAAAUUUUAGAGCACAUUAUUCAUUACUGUAUUAAUAUUACUAUAAUGGUAAUAAAAUGGGAAGCUGUUAAACACAUAUCCAUCUUUCCAACAGUGUUAUCCUAAGUCCAGGAGGAAGCUUUCAAAACAGGAGACUGGCCAAUUGCAAACCUUUCUCUGGACUUACUCUCCUCACCCCAGACCCAGCUACUAAGGAAGCCAGUUUUGGAACAUGGAAAGAUGGAUUGGAUGCAGUUAGGAGCCCUGAUCUCAUCUUGAUGUCAGGUAUGUGAAAUCCAGCACAGUUCAGAGGGGCCUCAAGCUCUUGGGGCAGAGCCAGUAAGUGUUGCUCCAGACACGCCUUUGCAGGGCCCUCUCUCCUUGCUCAUAUAUAAUAUUUUCUCUUUUUGUAACUUGGCCUCAGUGAAAAAGAAUAUUUUUAGUAAGCUACUCAUUGUUUACUGAAAGCAGCCUUAAAAAGCCCAGGGCAAGGGCUCUGUUAAGUAAACCCAGAAGUGGAAGACAGAUUUGCCUCCUCUUAAUUGGGCACUGGAGCACUUGCCUUUAGAGGAAGUGAGUAAAGCAAACAUCACAGGAAUUAUGAGUGAUGUGCCUGAACACAGAUCUGUGCAGGGGUUUUGCUGGGCACAGAAACUCACUGACUGUACACCAAAUAUUCACCGAGUCUGUUAGAUGACCAGAGGUUCAGAGAAAUUAAAAGUACUAAGAACCCAGAGCCAGGACUAGGGUGGAACAUGUGAGGCACUCACCUUGGGCACAACAUGUAAGUAAAUUUUAGCAAUCAAGAAAUAAUACUAUGGUGCAAUAGUUUAAAUAGACAAGAUCUGACAGGGCCAGAUUAGGGUAAGGUGGGUGAGGUGAGACAUGCAAGCACAGGGUCAGAUCUUGUGUUUAUUUAAAAUGAAAUAUGUUGAUUAGGGACUUUUUUUUUUUUUUUUAAACAUUU